This 439-nucleotide ribosomal RNA is filed under the name uncultured bacterium. RNAcentral describes it as "partial 16S ribosomal RNA". It matches the Rfam family "Bacterial small subunit ribosomal RNA", at positions 338 to 795 of the family's 1533-position model. The record is from RNAcentral.
CCUACGGGAGGCAGCAGUGGGGAAUAUUGCACAAUGGGCGAAAGCCUGAUGCAGCAACGCCGCGUGAGCGAUGAAGGCCUUCGGGUCGUAAAGCUCUGUCCUCAGGGAAGAUAGUGACGGUACUUGGAGAGUAAACCCCGGCUAACUACGUGCCCGCAGCCGCGGUAAUACGUAGGGGGCUAGCGUUAUCCGGAUUUACUGGGCGAAAAGGGUGCGUAGGUGGUUUGUUAAGUCAGAGGUGAAAGGCUACGGCUAAACCGUAGUAAGCCUUGGAAACUGGGAAACUUGAGUGCAGGAGAGGAGAGUGGAAUUCCUAGGGUAGCGGUGAAAUGCGUAGAUAUUAGGAGGAACACCAGUGGCGAAGGCGGCUCUCUGGAUUGUAACUGACACUGAGGCACGAAAGCGUGGGGAGCAAACAGGAUUAGAUACCCUUGUAGUC